GACGAACCGUGCGAACGUUGUUCGGAAUCACUGGGCUUAAAGGGCGCGUAGGCGGGUGGCCAAGUCGGUGGUGAAAUCCUCCAGCUCAACUGGAGAAUUGCCUUCGAUACUGGUUGUCUUGAGGGGGGUAGGGGCAGACGGAACUUCCGGUGGAGCGGUGAAAUGCGUAGAUAUCGGAAGGAACGCCGGCGGCGAAAGCGGUCUGCUGGACCCUCACUGACGCUGAGGCGCGAAAGCCAGGGGAGCAAACGGGAUUAGAUACCCCGGUAGUCCUGGCCCUAAACGAUGAGAACUAGGUUGUGGACUUGACAUGGGUUCACAGCCGAAGCCAAAGUGCUAAGUUCUCCGCCUGGGGAGUAUGGUCGCAAGGCUGAA
This 375-nucleotide ribosomal RNA is filed under the name uncultured bacterium. RNAcentral describes it as "bacterial SSU rRNA". It matches the Rfam family "Bacterial small subunit ribosomal RNA", at positions 524 to 898 of the family's 1533-position model. The record is from RNAcentral.